AUAUAUAGAGAGAGAGAGAGAGAGAGAGAGAGAGAGUAGGACUAUUAUAUAUAUACUUUUAUGAGUAUUGAUCUUUUUGUAUUUAUAAGAUUCUGGUCAUUGGAUAAAAGAAUGUGCGGUUAAGAAAAUAGUGGUUCUAGUUAGGGUGAUAGUGGUGCCGUAGGGUUGAGUGGUUGCCUGGUUGGUUAGAUGAAUAGUAUGAUCUAACAGAUGAAAAUGGUCAAAAUGGUAAAUUUAACGGCCAAAAAUUUAUGAGUAUAAAGAGGUCUAUACUCAUAAGAAUAUAGUAACCGAAUUAUAUAUAUAGAAUUAGGCUGGAAUACUAUU
This 327-nucleotide long non-coding RNA is filed under the name Ananas comosus (pineapple). RNAcentral's name for it is "long non-coding RNA (ACOM_LNC030936)". Lineage: Eukaryota; Viridiplantae; Streptophyta; Magnoliopsida; Poales; Bromeliaceae. The record is from RNAcentral.